This 459-nucleotide ribosomal RNA is filed under the name uncultured bacterium. Its description in RNAcentral is "bacterial SSU rRNA". It matches the Rfam family "Bacterial small subunit ribosomal RNA", at positions 340 to 789 of the family's 1533-position model. The record is from RNAcentral.
UACGGAAGGCAGCGGUGGGGAAUAUUGCACAAUGGGCGAAAGCCUGAUGCAGCUAUGCCGCGUGUAUGAAGAAGGCCUUAGGGUUGUAAAGUACUUUCAUCGGGGAGGAAAAAACAAAACUAAUAAUUUUAUUUCUUGACGUUACCCGAAAAAGAAGCACCGGCUAACUCCGUGCCAGCAGCCGCGGUAAUACGGAGGGUGCUAGCGUUAAUCAGAAUUACUGGGCGUAAAGAGCACGUAGGUGGUUUUUUUAAAGUCAGAUGUGAAAUCCCUGGGCUUAACCUGGAACUGCAUUUUGAAACUGAAAUACUAGAGUAUCGUAGAGGGAGGUAGAAUUCUAGGUGUAGCGGUGAAAUGCGUAGAUAUCUGGAGGAAUACCUGUGGCGAAAGCGGCCUCCUAAACGAAUACUGACACUGAGGUGCGAAAGCGUGGGGAGCAAACAGGGAUUAGAUACCCGU